UGGGGAAUUUUCCACAAUGGGCGAAAGCCUGAUGGAGCAACGCCGCGUGCAGGAUGAAUGCCUUAGGGUUGUAAACUGCUUUUAUAGGUGAAGAAUAUGACGGUAACCUAUGAAUAAGGAUCGGCUAACUACGUGCCAGCAGCCGCGGUCAUACGUAGGAUCCAAGCGUUAUCCGGAAUUACUGGGUGUAAAGAGUUGCGUAGGUGGCAGAGUAAGUAGAGAGUGAAAGCGUUCGGCUCAACCGAAUAAACAUUGUCUAAACUGCUCAGCUAGAGAACGAGAGAGGUAGAUGGAAUUCCCAGUGUAGGAGUGAAAUCCGUAGAUAUUGGGAGGAACACCGAUGGCGUAGGCAGUCUACUGGUUCGUUUCUGACACUAAGGCACGAAAGCGUGGGGAGCAAACA
RNAcentral lists this ribosomal RNA (403 nucleotides) under uncultured prokaryote. RNAcentral's name for it is "bacterial SSU rRNA". It matches the Rfam family "Bacterial small subunit ribosomal RNA", at positions 355 to 774 of the family's 1533-position model. The record is from RNAcentral.